Molecule: unclassified non-coding RNA, 240 nt
Filed under: soil metagenome
Description: partial contains 5.8S ribosomal RNA, internal transcribed spacer 2, and large subunit ribosomal RNA
Source: RNAcentral
AACCAUAGAAACCUGCGGAGUACCUGCGGAAGGAUCAUUACAGAGUUGCAAAACUCCCUAAACCAUUGUGAACGUUACCUAAACCGUUGCUUCGGCGGGCGGCCCGGGACCUUCCCGGCGCCCCUCGGCCCUCGCGGGCGCCCGCCGGAGGUAAACCAAACUAUUGCAUUGUAUGGCCUCUCUGAGUCUUCUGUACUGAAUAAGUCAAAACUUUCAACAAUGGAUCUCAGAUCGGAAGAG